GUUGUGAUCAGCACUUUUUAAAAAGAACAGAAUAGAAUAGAAAAUAUUAGAGUGCAUUACACGUGGUAUGACUAAAUAUUGUUUCCAAACAUGUCUGUUUCGGUUAAGUCCAGGUUUACAUAGUUAUCUGUGUACAGGGUUGCGAUGCGAAAUGUUUUUCUUACUAAAGGUGAUUGUCAAAGAGGCUUGAAAACACUGAGACAGAUGAUCUCUUGGGGUUCAAACCUAAGACUCCCUGAAACAGGCACCCAUAGUCAACCAGUUCAUGUAGUAGCACAUAUCAUCAAAGAACUGAGAGUGUGGUUAAGAAAAUGGGAGUGGAAAGGCAUGUGGAGCUCCCCCUUGUCAGGAUGAGCCUCUAGCUUACUGAGAAAGGGACUCUCCAGAGAGAGGACACCCUGGUGGCCAAGACCACGGAGAGAAACAUCCAGUGCUCCAGCUCAUCCAGACUGUUCACCAGGAUAUUGUGAUGAUUCCUGUGGCACCUGUCUCUCUUCACCUCCUCACACUUCAAUCCCCAUCCCCCAACGCCCAGUCUCCCUCCUUCUCCAAAAGAGUGUGCAGGAGGGAGAAACGAUCAGGUUAUUUUGGGGAUGGUCUCGGGCACAUGAAGAAAGCACCGUGGCAUUUUUCCUCUGAUUCUCUUUGAAAGACUAGUGUCCAAGACCAACUCUUAAAAAGGAAGAGAUCAUCGAAUGGCUGACAGCCCACAAAGCCUGCACUUGAAAAUCAAGUGCCUUGUCUCUAUAAAAAAAAAAAAUGUUUCUCACGCACAAUGUUGCCCUGGUUUCAUUUACUCUGAAAGAGAUUUGGUCUUUACAGGAAAACCCUCACUAUUGUUAACAAGAUCUAUCUCGCAAAAAAAUGUUGUUGACCUCUCUCUCCCCUGUUCCAUGGUGGAGGUGCGGGCUGAAGAGGAAGGAAGGUUGAUCCUGGAUUGAGAAGUUUCCAGCCUGGAAUGAUUACAAUUGAAAGAGGUUUUUUUCCUUAUUCUUCCUGCUGCCGACAUACCCACUGCUCUCUUUUAAAACAACAACAUUACCGGGCGCCUGGGCCGUUCAGUAAGUUAAGCGUCCAACUUCGGCUUAGGUCAUGAUCUCAUGAUUCAUGGGUUCGAGCCCGGCAUCAGGCUCUCACCCUCUCAAAAUAAAUAAAGAAACACUUAAAAUAUAAAAAAAAAU
RNAcentral lists this long non-coding RNA (1181 nucleotides) under Felis catus (domestic cat). RNAcentral's name for it is "lncRNA (ENSFCAG00000043288.2)". Lineage: Eukaryota; Metazoa; Chordata; Mammalia; Carnivora; Felidae. The record is from RNAcentral.